AGGACGAACGCUGGCGGCGUGCUUAACACAUGCAAGUCGAGCGGAAAGGCCCUUCGGGGUACUCGAGCGGCGAACGGGUGAGUAACACGUGAGUAAUCUGCCCCUAGCUCUGGGAUAGCUCCGGGAAACCGGGAUUAAUACCAGAUACGACCACUUUAGACAUCUUUUGUGGUGGAAAGAAUUUCGGCUAGGGAUGAACUCGCGGCCUAUCAGCUUGUUGGUGAGGUAACGGCUCACCAAGGCGACGACGGGUAGCCGGCCUGAGAGGGCGACCGGCCACACUGGGACUGAGACACGGCCCAGACUCCUACGGGAGGCAGCAGUGGGGAAUAUUGCGCAAUGGGCGAAAGCCUGACGCAGCGACGCCGCGUGGGGGAUGAAGGCCGUUCGGGUUGUAAACCCCUUUCAGCAGGGACGAAGCGAAAGUGACGGUACCUGCAGAAGAGCGCCGGCUAACUACGCGCCAGCAGCCGC
Molecule: ribosomal RNA, 474 nt
Filed under: uncultured bacterium
Lineage: Bacteria
Description: SSU rRNA
Rfam family: Bacterial small subunit ribosomal RNA
Source: RNAcentral